This 558-nucleotide ribosomal RNA is filed under the name uncultured bacterium. RNAcentral's name for it is "partial 16S ribosomal RNA". It matches the Rfam family "Bacterial small subunit ribosomal RNA", at positions 355 to 906 of the family's 1533-position model. The record is from RNAcentral.
UGGGGAAUUUUGGACAAUGGGGGAAACCCUGAUCCAGCCAUCCCGCGUGUGCGAUGAAGGCCUUCGGGUUGUAAAGCACUUUUGGCAGGAAAGAAACGUCGCGGGUUAAUACCCCGCGAAACUGACGGUACCUGCAGAAUAAGCACCGGCUAACUACGUGCCAGCAGCCGCGGUAAUACGUAGGGUGCAAGCGUUAAUCGGAAUUACUGGGCGUAAAGCGUGCGCAGGCGGUUCGGAAAGAAAGAUGUGAAACCCCAGAGCUUAACUUUGGAACUGCAUUUUUAACUACCGGGCUAGAGUGUGUCAGAGGGAGGUGGAAUUCCGCGUGUAGCAGUGAAAUGCGUAGAUAUGCGGAGGAACACCGAUGGCGAAGGCAGCCUCCUGGGAUAACACUGACGCUCAUGCACGAAAGCGUGGGGAGCAAACAGGAUUAGAUACCCUGGUAGUCCACGCCCUAAACGAUGUCAACUAGCUGUUGGGGCCUUCGGGCCUUGGUAGCGCAGCUAACGCGUGAAGUUGACCGCCUGGGGAGUACGGUCGCAAGAUUAAAACUCAAAU